Molecule: long non-coding RNA, 3662 nt
Filed under: Sus scrofa (pig)
Lineage: Eukaryota; Metazoa; Chordata; Mammalia; Artiodactyla; Suidae
Description: lncRNA (ENSSSCG00040002179.1)
Source: RNAcentral
CUUUUGUCUUUUUGUUGUUGUUGCUAUUUCUUGGGCCGCUCCCGUGGCAUAUGGAGGUUCCCAGGCUAGGGGUUGAAUCGGAGCUGUAGCCACCGGCCUACGCCAGAGCCACAGCAACGCGGGAUCCGAGCCGAGUCUGCAACCUACACCACAGCUCACGGCAACGCUGGAUCGUUAACCCACUGAGCAAGGGCAGGGACCGAACCCGCAACCUCAUGGUUCCUAGUCGGAUUCGUUAACCACUGCGCCACAACGGGAACUCCAGUUGCUGUAUCCAGAUUCCUUCUAUCAUAUUUUCUUAGGGGAAAACAUUAACAUUUGACUAGAAUUCAAGAUUCAUAAUGGUUGAGAAAUAAAGCCAAAAGAAAAUACUGCCCUCAGUUAUAAGUCCAUAGGUUGGCCUUCCCUUUAAUUUGCUUUCUUAUCCAGCUUUAUUAUGGCCUCAAAAAAAAAAAAAAAAUACACCUGAGGUUACCUGAGGUUUACCUCCCAACACCAGGUACCAGUAGCUUUUCACUACCAGGGAUGAUAAAUACAAGGUAACACUUAGGAAAUUAUGGGUAAGCUGCAGCACACUGACAUAUUGUUAAGAGAUAUAUUAUGGUUUAAAACAAAACUCGGGAAUAGUAUCUCUAAAUAUAACUUGAGAGUUUAUUUCGAGUAGAGUCCAGCCACUUCUAUAUCCUACCAAAUAACUGUUCCUCCAGCCAAAUCAACUGUGGAGAUCAUAGAAUGACAGACGUCACAGACAGAAUCUGCAUAUUUCUAGGGAAACUCUUACAAACCUUGAAAGUGAGACAAAGUUAUACGAGGUAAAGAAGCAAACUUAUUAAGCUAUGUACAUAUAUACAUAUUUGAGUCAAUGGAAAUUUUAACUUAAUCUGGCAGUAAAACUAUAAAACAACAUAAGGAGUACCCUUAGGCUAAGACAAAACAUCACAGCCUUUUCAGAUAGCACCUGGUGGCUGGCAUGCAGCUCCAGGGUGGACCUUUUGCAUGAAAAAGAAGGUCACAACAAAACUGAACUGUGGAAAAAUUAACACAGAUUUUUUUUGAAAACAUAGCAGGGCCUCAAAGGGUAGCAGGAAUAAACUUCCUUUGCCUUUACAAGACUUAAAAUUUUUUCUGUUCAUUUUUGGAGAAAACUGAAGGAGAGGAGAAUAUUUUCUCUAUUCCUUUCUCUUUAGGUAGAAGUGGCUGUGAAAGGCUUCACUAUAACUGUUUGAACUGGGAACAGUUAAAUCACACAGAUUAAGCUAGGGUGCUUUUUCUUUUGAAGAAGGCGGCUGAGUCACAGCCCUGAGACUGCUUGCUCUCUGACUCCAAGUUGUUGUGGUCUAUUUGCUUUCAUUGGCUCAUCAUCUUUCUCAACCAGAAAGCAGCCAGCCCUCUGGGCAGAGCAAUCCCCCUUUUCCAAUGUAUAUUCUGAAGGACAGGAGACCCUAGCCCUUAAAAAUUGCACUGUACUUCUAUAGGGAGAGGCUUGCCCCCAGAAUGGUGGACUGGAAUGGUUGGAGUGACGAAUCCCUGGAGGAUGGUCCUGUGAUAUAGCAUAAGCACUGGUUCAUGCCAGAAUUGGUGCCUAAGCAAGAGAUACACAUGCCCAUCAAAUCAAGAGAAGUGAUACUUGCAUCCAACAGAUGAAUACCAUGCCACCUGGCUUCAAUCAAGCCAUCUACAAUAAUUUCAGCAAUUUCCAAACCAUCAGUAAUUUCCAAACUCAAGAUACUAGGCCUGCCAUGACCCUGGAAAGUUCACUAGAGAACUUAAAAGUUUGAGCCCAAGCUGAAUUUCCAUGAGGUACUUAGAGAAAUCAUGGGCAACUCACCAUCAUCAACCAGGGACAACUGCAAUGGUUGUGGCACAAGCCAGUCAGGUUGAUCUCUCUAGAUGCAGAGAUUAGCAGGUGGAUGCAACUUAGUCCUUCUGCAAUAGUCAUGUACUUCCAAUUAAUUCAUAGUUAAGAGUAUAUACAGAAGAGAUCAAAUCCUUUGCUGACAUAUGGCACUAAAAAAAUCCCUUUACAUUCCUAUAGCUUACUUUCAGUGAUAGAGAUUCCUUGAUUUGCUCAAUUUUGGGAUAGUAGAAAAAUUCAGAGACACAAAACUCCCUCUACAAAAACAUCCCCAACUCAUUGGUACAAACCUCCAGACUCCUCCUUCAUACCACAAGCUACUAUAGGUAGCAAUGCUGCUAGAGGUUUAUACUUGGCUCAAUGUACACCCACUGCCUAGCAGAAAGCUGCUUUCAAAGCUGAGCUUGCUUCAUCCAUCUACAAAUAUCCUAAAUUUCGUAAGCCCUCAUAAAGAAUUUCCUCAGGACGCGACAAAGAAAACUAACACGCAAGGUCUACUAUUAUUUAAAACUUUUAAAUCUACUUCCAGAGUUCUAUUCAGAUUGCAUCCUUAUCUGGGCUCUGAUUCAGAUUUCAAGCAUCUGCCACUCUACAGCUAGUUGAUGAGAAAGAGAGUACAGGGUGAGGAGUGGGGGAAAGAGGACCACAGUAGGAGUAUCCUAACUGACCUCCUGUCUUCAGUCAUUAUUCUCCUUAUUUCAUCCAUCCUGGAUAUCACCAAAUCAGUGUUUCUAAAACACUCCAUUUCACAGUUUUACUUUCUGCUUUUUGCUCGUCUAUACAUUCUAGUCUUUCUAAAAUGGACGUUUAUAAGGAAAUUACUUUUUUAAAGUUAAAGGAACCUCUGCUUUCAUUAUUUCAUUCUCAGAGUGUAGUCUAAAUGCACAGACCUCCACCAGUCAGGCCCCAAACUUCCCUGCCUAGUCCUGGCCAAUCACCUAUCCACAGUGAAUCCUGUGCUCUAACAGAUCUAUCCAGAUUCCUUGAGUACCUAUCAUCUCCUUACUCAUUGCUGUAAUUUGCUUUUGUUCCUCUACCACAAUGAUUUAUCAAAAUCAUCUUCACCCACAUAAAUUUUAUCAAUUUCAAGACUAUCUUAAUCUACUAUAGAGCAAUAGUGAGAUGCCCCCCCCCUUAAAAUGACACCACAAACUGAGAGUCAGCUGGUAAUCAACCGGCAUGUAUUAUUAGUUGUUUUCCGAUGUAAAUAUACAUCUACCUACACCUUUACUAAUCACAUUAAACAUUAAGGAAAAUGUAUGUCUUGCAUUUUUUGUUCUGGGCAAAUAAUAGAUGGUCAAUAAAUAUUUGUUGCAUGAAUCCCUGACCAUACUAAACAACAAUGUAACAUAUAAUUAAACCAGGUUUUCAAUAAAUAUGUGAUGUAUACAUAAUUAAGAGAAAUGACUGCAAGGGCUUUUGCCAUAAAACCACUGAGGGGUAUCCUAUCUGCAUUAUUGACAUAUGAUGGAGUAUUUUAAAGCUUGAAGAAUGUUGGUAUUAUUCAAGGGUGAGGUAAGCAGUGAUGGAAAAGAGUGACAGUUAAGGAUGAAAGAUAAUUUGCACCUUGGCAUAAUUAUAAUCCUUUUUAAAAAGGGCCUAAAUAUAUAUUCCAUUUAUUUACUGUUCAUAUUUUUACUUAAUGCUUCACUCUACACAAAGAGUUCUCAUUUAUAAAGAAAGUAAAAUUGUGAAGGAAUGCUUCCUAUUUUCUUUUUUGUCUUUAACUGUGGCCAAGGGAAGCUCAUCAGGACAUACUGCAAUGCCAUAAGCCAGGCACCCUCUUGCUUAUUCUAACUGCUGGAAA